AGGACGAACGCUGGCGGCGUGCUUAACACAUGCAAGUCGGGCGGUAAGGCCUCUUCGGGGGUACACGAGCGGCGAACGGGUGAGUAACACGUGGGUGACCUGCCCUCAGCUCUGGGAUAAGCCUGGGAAACUGGGUCUAAUACUGGAUAUUCACUUCUCAUCGCAUGGUGGGUGGUGGAAAGUUUUUUCGGCUGGGGAUGGGCCCGCGGCCUAUCAGCUUGUUGGUGGGUGAUGGCCUACCAAGGCGACGACGGGUA
This 257-nucleotide ribosomal RNA is filed under the name uncultured bacterium. RNAcentral's name for it is "partial small subunit ribosomal RNA". It matches the Rfam family "Bacterial small subunit ribosomal RNA", at positions 26 to 285 of the family's 1533-position model. The record is from RNAcentral.